GCAGUAAGGAAUAUUGGUCAAUGGAGGCAACUCUGAACCAGCCAUGCCGCGUGCAGGAAGACUGCCCUAUGGGUUGUAAACUGCUUUUAUCUGGGAAUAAACCUAUUUACGUGUAAGUAGCUGAAUGUACCAGAAGAAUAAGGAUCGGCUAACUCCGUGCCAGCAGCCGCGGUAAUACGGAGGAUCCAAGCGUUAUCCGGAUUUAUUGGGUUUAAAGGGUGCGUAGGCGGCCUGUUAAGUCAGGGGUGAAAGACGGUAGCUCAACUAUCGCAGUGCCCUUGAUACUGAUGGGCUUGAAUGGACUAGAGGUAGGCGGAAUGAGACAAGUAGCGGUGAAAUGCAUAGAUAUGUCUCAGAACACCGAUUGCGAAGGCAGCUUACUAUGGUCUUAUUGACGCUGAGGCACGAAAGCGUGGGGAUCAAACAGGAUUAGA
RNAcentral lists this ribosomal RNA (434 nucleotides) under uncultured bacterium. RNAcentral's name for it is "bacterial SSU rRNA". It matches the Rfam family "Bacterial small subunit ribosomal RNA", at positions 351 to 782 of the family's 1533-position model. The record is from RNAcentral.